RNAcentral lists this ribosomal RNA (443 nucleotides) under Nocticola quartermainei. Its description in RNAcentral is "partial large subunit ribosomal RNA". It matches the Rfam family "Archaeal large subunit ribosomal RNA", at positions 1901 to 2596 of the family's 2987-position model. The record is from RNAcentral. Lineage: Eukaryota; Metazoa; Arthropoda; Insecta; Blattodea; Nocticolidae.
AAAAACAUUGUUUCUUGUAGUUGAUUCGAGAUAAUGUCUGCCCACUGAGAUAUUAAAGGGCUGCAGUAUACUGACUGUACAAAGGUAGCAUAAUAAAUAGUUUCUUAAUUGGGAGCUGGAAUGAAAGGCUUAAUGAGAAAUCUACUGUCUUAUUUAAAGAAUUAGAAUUUAAUGUUUAGGUAAAAAUGCCUAAAUGUGUGAGUGGGACGAGAAGACCCUGUAGAAUUUUAUUUUAUUAUGAGGUUAGUUAAAUUUAAAUUUGGGAGAAUAUAUUGUGAGGUAAAAUUUAAUUGGGGUGAUUAAAAAAUAAUUAACUUUUUUUUAUUAGUAUUAAAUAUAAGUAUAUAUUUGAUCCAUGUUGGAUGAUUGUAAGAUAAAUUACCUCAGGGAUAACAGCGUAAUUUAUUUGGAUAGUUCGUAUAGAUGAGUAAGGUUGCGACCUC